CCAGGACACUGGGGGCCUUGGAUUCCUUGGGCUGAGCACUGGGAACUGACAGUUCCUAGGGGAUACACACCCUGAGAAGUUCCAGGGCCCCAGGAACUCCUCUCAUCUCUGCUUCUGUCAAUCCAGAGGUUCUUGACCCCUCCACCCUAAAUGGGAAACCACAGAAAAUCGUCUGGAUCUGUCCCCUUCAGAGCCACCAGCCCAGCCAACCUGCUGCCAGAUGAUAACCCAGAAAAGCCCCUUCAUGAUUGCAUGGGAGUGACUGAGGUGCUCCAAUCCACCAGACCCGAAUGAACAGAUGUCCCCCUGCAAAAAGUCAAAGAGACAAUCUUGUCGAAGACAUGGUGUUCUGAUGUACCAUUUGCGCACAAGUGAACCCCAAAGAAGGAGACAAAGCCCUGGAAGGAAUCCACGCCCAAGAAAGCACUUCUGGAGAACAUCGGGAAGUGGAAUUUAUCCAUGGUUCUCAGUCCUAACAGGCCCAGAAACAGACCCAAAGGACUAUUCAUCAGACAAUUCAGGAGGCUGCACCUUUGUCCAAGUAUGAGCCUGCCCACAAGUUCCAGCCUGGAGACCUCGUGUGAGUAAAGAGGAUCUCAGCUCAGAUCCUGGAGCCAACAUAGAAAGGCCCAUGCUCUGUGGUCCUCACCACCCCCACAGCACUGAAGGUCACUGGUCACCUCAUGGAGCCACCAGACCCAGCUGAAGGAGGCUACAGAAGAUGACAGAUGGGUCAUCAUUACAUUCUCUCCAUGCCUGACUUGGACGCUACAAUUAUGAUUGUCCAAUUUUGUCUUCUUUGUUUCCCUGUGGGAAAGGCCUCAAACUCCCAUAGGUCAGGACCUUGCCUAUGGGAAUUAAGAAAGACCAGGACUGGGGAGCUCACAGCCAAUCUAUCCACUGAGACCCAACCCACCUUCCAGGAAGAUUUCUGUAAACUAUUACAACCAGAAGAUCCAGGGGGAUGGUUCACUCACUUCUGGGGCUGUGGGUCCAUUGGUGAAGAGAAGGAGCACUGAUUUAUCCAGUACUAUGCCUGCCUGAUGCCCCAUCCCCCUCAGAUGUUAGAAUCGAGGAGAAUACGAUUGAGCUCAGUGGAGUUGCAAAACCAAGUCCUCCUGGGGGCACACUGAUCCCUUCUUAGUCCUAGAAAGAAAACCAUCAUCACCUACCUGUGGCCACUGGCAAUGCAAUCCCAUAUCCAUAAAGGUUAGGGCCUGGCAGGAAACCCAUUAUUGGGAAACUGGUAGGACCUGGGGCGUCAAGUUAUAGCUGAACGGUCCAAACCCAGGCAGCAGUUAAUAUUCAAAAGAAACCUGUACCUAGGGUCAUCAGCCUGUUGGGCUGAACCAGCCUAUCUUGGCACCCCUGAGAUAUGACCCUCUCCAAGGCAGUAAACCCUCUACCUCCACUUUGCCAAGGAACUCCCUCAGUAACCAUGAGGAUCAAAGUCAAGGGGCAGAAGAAGCCAGCCCCUUGGAGUUUGGUAUCCUAAGUGGAGGGUACCAGUUUCUUAACCAUUCUCAGCCAGACAUAGAUAGAGAAUGCUGGCUAUACCUAGACCCCAGACCCCCAUAUGAUGUUGGGAUUGGAACUAAUCAAACAAUAAACUCCACUUCCAACCCUAACAGCUGUAAAAGGGACCAGCCUAAGCUCACCCUGGGUGAGCCUGCAAGGGAAGGGUGCCUGCUUAAUGUCACCGAGAUACCCCCUAGAGAGUUUCCCUGUGCAGAUCUCUGUAGCCAGGCACAGCAGCUUAACCCCAGGAAUGGUGGUUGAGUGUAUUUCCAGGCCUCAGAGAGUACCGGGUUUGCUUGCAGUAACGGCUUAACCAAGUGUACAUCUUGUGAUGGUUUGCACUGGACGAGAGCCCACUCUUUUGUGUCCUUGUGUACAUCACACCACAGGUGUUCGUCUGUAAGAAGAGGACAGAGCCCGCCUAGAUCUAGACUCUGGGCCCUUAAUACUAGUUUUUCAGUCUGGAGCCUAGUAGCUCUGAUAAAGCAGCUUCAUCCUGUUCAUCCUGGACUUCUGGACAUGGGACCUCCCCUGCCCCCAGAAAACCCCAGUUUGAUUUCUGUCCCUUGGAACUAGAAAUGUCCUGACUGUCAGUGAUGAUUGGGUAUCCGAGAAGAGAUGUCUAGAUUUAACAGUGGGCCACAUUGUAGUAGAAGAUGGGAGUUUUCUUUCCCUCUUCCUCCCUCUGUGUCUUAUGCCAGUCUUCCACAAAACUGCAACCAGCACGUCAUUGUGCUUGCCUCCUGGGCCCUCCCGAGUCUCUCGAAUGAGGAGUGCUUGUGGCUCAGUUUAUCUUUCCUUUUUACUUAGUCGAUCCUUCAAGACUCAGGAAUAACUCUUCGUUUCUAAGAUUUUGGAACAAAAAUUGAGUCAGAUUUGGGAACUGAUCUUUGACCACAUAGGGAGGCUGGUGGAGGGGAGUUGAUUUUCACUGUUUCAUAUUCUCUGUGUUUCUGCUUCUCAGCCAGGUGCCAUAUGGUGCCAGGCAUAUGGGAUGUUUAGUAAGGAUUGGUAGGCUAAAGGAAAUAGCGUGCGCGCACACACACCACCACCACCACCACCCAGCAUAAAAUAUGUGAUCUCAGCCCUUAGGGCGUCUCCCAGUCUGGUUGGGGAUUCGAUCUCAGUAAGGUCUUCAGCCCAUUUGGCAUUCUGGGUGGGGGAGAAUUGUGACUCAGAGGAGAGAGGACCUUGGAUUUGGGGAGGGGCUGAGGAAGGAUCUGAGGAAGGAUGACUGAGGUUGGCUUUGUAAAGACAGGUGGGUUUUAGUGAGGGGACAGUCGGAGAUGGAGUUGUAAAAUGAGGGUGGUGUCCCCUCAGGACUGUCUGUAGACUGUGGUAGCUACAGGUAGGGGUUCUGGCUGGUGAGGUGGAGAGGGUCUCUCAGGGUGACCAGGAUCCCACUAAUGCACAGAAAAGAACCAAUUAAGAAGCCCUCCUUUUCCACCCACAUUGGGCCAAGAUGAGAGGUCCUUGGCUCAGGCACACAGCGAU
Molecule: long non-coding RNA, 3012 nt
Organism: Peromyscus californicus insignis
Lineage: Eukaryota; Metazoa; Chordata; Mammalia; Rodentia; Cricetidae
Exons: 4
Source: RefSeq, a predicted model, not a curated record